Molecule: long non-coding RNA, 203 nt
Organism: Mya arenaria
Lineage: Eukaryota; Metazoa; Mollusca; Bivalvia; Myida; Myidae
Exons: 3
Source: RefSeq, a predicted model, not a curated record
AGGAAAGAUGUAAUCGCGACGAGAGUUACUUGGUUCACGUGGACGACGAUGCUGAAAACACGUUUCUCGUCAACCAUGUACAAUAUAUACUUCCCAUAAACAGCUGGUGGAUCGGUCUGACGGACAAUGACACAGAGGGAGUGUUUCAGUGGGUGGACGACUAUUCCAACAUGACGUACCAACACUUCAACGCUCACCAGCCA